CACAACUAUAACAUUAUAUCAAAUCCACACCAUAAUAUUAAAAAAAAUAUUUUGAGAAAUUUAAAUAUUUAUUCAUAAAAUCUGGGGUCUCACAAUCUCUCCUCUUUAUGAAAUUUAUUUAUCAAUACAGUUGCCAGAAGAAGCAAGACAACAGAAGAAGCCAUCCAUCAGGACCAGAAAGCGCUGGUGGAGAAACCCUCUUCUCUUCUUCAGCUGGCCCUCUUCCCACAAAACCAAUACAAGACCACCCAACUAUCCCCCACUUUACAUCACCGACAGCAGGAGUGGGUCUUACCGGACCACCAGCCGGCCGAUGAAGAUGGACAUAAUUCCCUACAUCAGUCUCGGGGACCAUCACCACCUGAUCUCCCCCAUGCCUAUGCCCAUUUAUUUGGUCACCUAGCUACAUACAUACAUAAUUCUUGAAAUUGUUAUCUAUCUCUCUCCCUCCCUCCCUGGAUUAUUAAUCUAUUAAUUUUGCUCUGAUUAAUUCUGCAACUACGUACAUGAAUAUUGAAGCCUUGCUUUGAGUUUGACUAACCUUUCCUCCUCUUUCUCUUUUGCAUUUGUUUUUGGACCAGAUCCGUUGGGACCAAACGUAUUGUUUGUCGUCCCUUUGAUUUGAUUAAUACAGGUAGUAGUAAUUUAGUAUAUUCUUUAUAUUGAUUAAUGAAUGAUUUUAAUUUAAAAAGGUUUGUUUUCAAGAUUAAAUAAAUUAAUAAUAUCGAAAUUAUCAAAAAUAAACUUUUAAAUAAAAAUGGAAAUCAUUUAAAAACAGGGAGGGAGUUUCUUAUUACUGGUUACCGUUGGUUGAAGUAGGCUAACGCCAGGGUAGUGGACCAUGUCCAUGUGUGGUGAGUAUAGGAAUUGGACAAGUAGCCGAUGUAAUCCCCCAUGCCCCAUAUGAUAUGUAUACAUACAUGUGAAGGAG
Molecule: long non-coding RNA, 931 nt
Filed under: Panax ginseng (ginseng)
Lineage: Eukaryota; Viridiplantae; Streptophyta; Magnoliopsida; Apiales; Araliaceae
Description: long non-coding RNA (PGIN_LNC007689)
Source: RNAcentral